AGCGAACGCUGGCGGCAGGCUUAACACAUGCAAGUCGAACGGGCAUAGCAAUAUGUCAGUGGCAGACGGGUGAGUAACGCGUGGGAACGUACCUUUUGGUUCGGAACAACACAGGGAAACUUGUGCUAAUACCGGAUAAGCCCUUACGGGGAAAGAUUUAUCGCCGAAAGAUCGGCCCGCGUCUGAUUAGCUAGUUGGUAGGGUAAUGGCCUAUCAAGGCGACGAUCAGUAGCUGGUCUGAGAGGAUGAUCAGACACAUUGGGACUGAGACACGGCCCAAACUCCUACGGGAGGCAGCAGUGGGGAAUAUUGGACAAUGGGCGAAAGCCUGAUCCAGCCAGGCCGCGUGAGUGAUGAAGGCCCUAGAGUUGUAAAGCUCUUUUGUGCGGGAAGAUAAUGACGGUACCGCAAGAAUAAGCCCCGGCUAACUUCGUG
RNAcentral lists this ribosomal RNA (435 nucleotides) under uncultured bacterium. RNAcentral's name for it is "partial 16S ribosomal RNA". It matches the Rfam family "Bacterial small subunit ribosomal RNA", at positions 29 to 507 of the family's 1533-position model. The record is from RNAcentral.